CAGCCGCCGCGGGAAAACGUAGGGGGCAAGCGUUGUCCGGAAUCAUUGGGCGUAAAGAGCGUGUAGGCGGCUCGGUAAGUCCGCUGUGAAAGUCCAGGGCUCAACCCUGGAAUGCCGGUGGAAACUGUCGAGCUAGAGUCCGGAAGAGGCGAGUGGAACUCCUGGUGUAGCGGUGAAAUGCGCAGAUAUCAGGAAGAACACCAAUGGCGAAGGCAGCUCGCUGGGACGGUACUGACGCUGAGACGCGAAAGCGUGGGGAGCAAACAGGAUUAGAUACCCGAGUAGUCCCUGUCUCUUAUAC
This 301-nucleotide ribosomal RNA is filed under the name uncultured bacterium. RNAcentral describes it as "partial 16S ribosomal RNA". It matches the Rfam family "Bacterial small subunit ribosomal RNA", at positions 509 to 807 of the family's 1533-position model. The record is from RNAcentral.